GGGUUGUGAGGUUAAGCGACCAAGCGUACACGGUGGAUGCCCUGGCAGUCAGAGGCGAUGAAGGACGUGCUAAUCUGCGAAAAGCGCCGGUAAGGUGAUAUGAACCGUUAUAACCGGCGAUGUCCGAAUGGGGAAACCCAGUGUGACUCGUCACACUAUCAUUAACUGAAUCCAUAGGUUAAUGAGGCGAACCGGGGGAACUGAAACAUCUAAGUACCCCGAGGAAAAGAAAUCAACCGAGAUUCCCCCAGUAGCGGCGAGCGAACGGGGAGGAGCCCAGAGCCUGAAUCAGCAUGUGUGUUAGUGGAAGCGUCUGGAAAGGCGCGCGAUACAGGGUGACAGCCCCGUACACAAAAGCGCAUAUGCUGUGAGCUCGAUGAGUAGGGCGGGACACGUGGUAUCCUGUCUGAAUAUGGGGGGACC
This 423-nucleotide ribosomal RNA is filed under the name Salmonella enterica subsp. arizonae serovar 41:z4,z23:-. RNAcentral's name for it is "bacterial LSU rRNA". It matches the Rfam family "Bacterial large subunit ribosomal RNA", at positions 1 to 454 of the family's 2925-position model. Lineage: Bacteria; Pseudomonadati; Pseudomonadota; Gammaproteobacteria; Enterobacterales; Enterobacteriaceae. The record is from RNAcentral.